AGCAUCUAAUCAAUCACUGUGGUGUGAAAUGAAUGCAGCUGAUCUCUGAAGUUGCUUCCAUUGGAAUGUAUUCAUCUGUAACAUGUCAAUCUCUGAAUGACAUCACAACAGCUUCCAGUCCUUGAAAGUCUUGAGGUUGAUUAGCUGAAGGAAUUGGCUGUUUCUGCCAAUCAUAAUCGGGUAAAGCUGCCUUUUCUGCUCUGUAGAUAUGAGAGAAAGGGAAAGGGAGACUGACUACAGCUAAACAAGAGGCACAGCAGCAGAAGCAGCACCAGAAGCAGCAGCUGGUAUUCGGGUGAUUAAAUAGUUCUCAUAGCCUUUUUGCUGUUCUCUGACUGCUCCCUGGUGUAAUUCCCAUGUCCAAGAAGGAAGCUGCAUUUUAACGGUGUGGUGAACGGAGGUUUGAAUCAUUCCAGCUGGCGGCUUGUUUUGAAAAGGACAGUAUGUGUAUAAAUAAAAUGUGACUGUGCUGGAAGAGUUCAGUUACUCGUGGCUGGAGCAAGAGGAGUCUUCCUGGGAUACUGCUCACACUGCUGGUAUGAACUGAAAACUCUCUCUAGUUUAUCUGAGCCAAGUGAAGAAAUUUGAAUAGUGGAUGUCUCUUUCCCACACACUAGACAAACUCAAGUGAAAAGAAAAAGGAAGAAAUUCUUCUAUAGUACCUGAGGGACCCAAGAGGAAAAAAAGCUGAGGGGAAAAAAGGAGAAAAUGUAGAUCUACUAAUUGCAUUCUAUUCACCUGGGCUACAGAAGUGGACUAAGAAAUUUAAUAAUGUUAAGCAUCAUCUCCAUUGAUUUUUUGCAAGUGCUGCAUUCAGAGAAGAUCUCUUCCAAUUUAGAUUUCCAGAUACUUUGACUUUGAGCUCUAACAACUUUAUAACCUCCCCAAAGCCCCUCAUAAAUGCAUUGCAAUGGUCACAUGAACAUUUUGGGCGUGGUACCAGCACCAUUUUUUGUCCUCUCUGCUAUGGCACUUUAAGAGGAUAAAGCCAAAAAAGUUUCUUCUUUUAAAUUGAAAGUAUUCCAAAAAAUGAAUCUUAUUGUGAAACUUCGUAGAAGUUUCAGAACACUGGUAAUUCUCUUAACCACCUUCUGUUUAGUAAGCAUAGUCAUUUCCGCCUAUUACUUAUAUACAGGCUACAAGCAGGAGAUGACCCUAGUUGAAGCCACUGGAGAAGCAGAAUGUGAGGGCCUUAAACUUUUACCAUACAGGUCCAUGGAGCUGAAGACUGCUAAGCUGAUGGAUCCAUCUAAUACUGACCCUAUUGUCUUGCUAUUUGUGGAGAGCCAAUACUCCCAGCUUGGACAAGAUAUCAUAGCCAUCCUCGAGUCUAGUCGAUUCCAGUACCAUAUGGUAAUUGCACCUGGAAAAGGUGACAUUCCUCCUCUUAGAGAUAGUGGCAAAGGGAAAUAUAUGCUUGUUAUAUACGAGAAUAUUUUAAAGUAUGUGUCCAUGGACUCAUGGAAUAGAGAGCUCCUGGAAAAAUACUGUGUGGAAUACAGUGUUAGCAUAAUUGGUUUUCACAAAGCCAAUGAGAACAGCUCACCAAGUAUUAAAUUAAAAGGAUUUCCACUAGACCUUUACAAUAAUGUAGCCCUCAAAGAUUGCUUUGUAAACUCUCAAUCUCCUCUACUGCACAUUACCAAAGCACCACGGGUUGAGAAAGGCCCACUACCUGGGGAAGACUGGACGGUUUUCCUAUUUAAUCACUCCACCUACCAACCUGUGCUUUUAACUGAAUUACAGACUUCCAGAUCCUUCCCACCAUCAUUGCCUAAGGCUCCACUGUAUGCUACAGUGAUUCAGGACUUGGGGCUUCAUGAUGGGAUUCAGAGAGUCCUUUUUGGAAACAACUUGACCUUUUGGCUACACAAGUUGAUCUUUCUAGAUGCUGUCUCUUUCCUGACGGGGAAGAAGCUCACAUUGUCCUUGGAUAGGUACAUUCUUGUCGAUAUAGAUGACAUCUUUGUUGGAAAGGAGGGAACAAGGAUGAACAUCCAGGAUGUGAAGGCAUUACUAGAGACUCAAAAUUUACUGCGCACUCAGGUUGCAAAUUUUACCUUCAACCUUGGAUUUUCAGGAAAGUUUUACCACACAGGAACUGAAGAGGAGGAUGAAGGCGAUGACCUGUUGUUGGGGUCUGUGGAUGAGUUCUGGUGGUUUCCUCAUAUGUGGAGUCACAUGCAGCCUCAUCUCUUCCAUAAUGAGUCAUCACUGGUGGAGCAGAUGAUUCUCAACAAGGACUUUGCACUAGAGCAUGGUAUUCCGACUGACAUGGGUUAUGCAGUGGCUCCGCACCACUCCGGGGUCUACCCUGUACAUGUUCAGCUUUAUGAGGCCUGGAAGAAGGUCUGGGGUAUCAAAGUCACAAGCACAGAAGAGUAUCCACAUUUAAAACCUGCACGGUACAGACGGGGCUUCAUCCACAAUGGCAUCAUGGUACUUCCUCGACAGACCUGUGGCCUUUUCACCCACACAAUUUUCUACAAGGAGUAUCCUGGGGGCCCUCAAGAAUUGGACAAAAGCAUCCGAGGAGGUGAACUCUUCCUCACAAUCCUCCUGAAUCCCAUCAGCAUCUUCAUGACCCAUUUGUCCAACUACGGGAAUGACCGCCUGGGGUUAUACACCUUUUUGAAUCUGGCCAACUUUGUUAAGAACUGGACUAACCUAAAACUACAGACUCUGCCUCCAGUUCAACUGGCUUACAAGUACUUUGAACUCUUCCCUGAGCAAAAGGACCCUCUCUGGCAGAAUCCAUGUGACGAUAAACGUCAUAGGGAUAUCUGGUCCAGAGAUAAAACUUGUUACCAUCUUCCAAAAUUUCUUGUGAUUGGACCUCAGAAAACAGGAACAACAGCACUUUAUUUAUUUCUCCUUAUGCAUCCUUCUAUCAUCAGUAAUCUCCCUAAUCCAAAAACUUUUGAAGAAGUUCAGUUCUUCAAUGGAAACAACUAUCACAAGGGAAUUGAUUGGUACAUGGAUUUCUUCCCUACCCCUUCGAAUGUCACCACUGACUUUCUGUUUGAGAAAAGUGCCAACUACUUCCAUUCUCAGGAGGCUCCCAGACGAGCAGCUUCCCUGGUCCCCAAGGCCAAGAUCAUCACCAUUCUCAUUGACCCAUCAGAUCGGGCAUACUCCUGGUAUCAGCACCAGCAAUCUCAUGAGGACCCUGCAGCUUUGAAGUUCAAUUUCUAUGAAGUGAUUACAUCAGACCAUUGGGCUCCCUCAGAGUUAAGAACUCUCCAGAAGAGAUGUCUCAUCCCUGGGUGGUAUGCUACCCAUAUAGAAAGAUGGCUAACUCACUUUCCCACUUCCCAGUUGCUAAUUAUUGAUGGACAGCAGCUAAGAAGUGACCCAGCGACAGUGAUGGAUGAAGUACAGAAGUUUUUGGGAGUCUCACCUCAUUAUAAUUACUCUGAAGCUCUAACGUUUGACCCUCAGAAAGGCUUUUGGUGUCAGCUGCUGGAAGGAGGGAAGACCAAAUGCCUGGGAAAAAGCAAAGGCCGAAAAUACCCACCAAUGGAUCAAGAGUCUAGAGCUUUUCUUUCAAGCUACUACAGAGAUCACAAUGUGGAACUGUCUAAACUACUGCACAGAUUGGGACAACCCCUGCCAUACUGGCUGAGACAGGAGCUUCAGAAAGUGAGAUAGCACUGAUGUUCAGAGGACCAAAGUCUCUAAUGACAGUUACUGGCACCAUAAAACCCCUCGCUUCCCCGACUCACUUGUGAUUGUCAGUACACGACCUCAUGAAUAACUGUCUCAAAAUUAAAUACAAAUAUAAAACUGUUUAUAUAUGCACGCACUGACAGCUAUUAGCAUCAACUCCUUUGUCAGCUUCUGGGACACAAUAUGGAGCUAUGUGGCAUUAUUCUUUAUCCAGCCUGGGACUCAUGCAUAGUCUAGUCCCUCUGUUUACCAGAAAGUUCCAGAAACUGUAUGUAUGAUUGAUAGUCUUCAUCAUAUAUGACAAAUUACAGCCUGUCAGGACACAAGCAAAGAACAGAAACAUCUCUCGGUGGAUUGUGAGAGUAUCCUUUUAAUGCGACUGCUAAGGUGUGGACCUAUCUACCGAUUGGAUCCCCCAUCACUAUCAUAUCUGGAAAAGCUAGCAGAAAAUAAGGAUUUGCAAACAAAGGAAAGUCUUAAGUGUUCAGUGUUCCAGUGA
Molecule: RNA transcript, 4168 nt
Organism: Caretta caretta (loggerhead turtle)
Lineage: Eukaryota; Metazoa; Chordata; Testudines; Cheloniidae
Gene: NDST4
Gene name: N-deacetylase and N-sulfotransferase 4
Source: RefSeq, a predicted model, not a curated record